GGGGAAUAUUGGACAAUGGGGGCAACCCUGAUCCAGCAAUGCCGCGUGUGUGAAGAAGGUCUUCGGAUUGUAAAGCACUUUCGACGGGGACGAUGAUGACGGUACCCGUAGAAGAAGCCCCGGCUAACUUCGUGCCAGCAGCCGCGGUAAUACGAAGGGGGCUAGCGUUGCUCGGAAUGACUGGGCGUAAAGGGCGUGUAGGCGGUUUACACAGUCAGAUGUGAAAUCCCCGGGCUUAACCU
Molecule: ribosomal RNA, 242 nt
Filed under: uncultured bacterium
Lineage: Bacteria
Description: partial 16S ribosomal RNA
Rfam family: Bacterial small subunit ribosomal RNA
Source: RNAcentral